CGCGCCUUUUCUCUUGUCGAGAACAACUUACUGAUCAGAUCGACACGUAUAUUUUGCAUUCAUGAUAUGUAAUUGCAGUUAUCUCUUUUUCUGAUUUAACAUUUUUAUAUUUGUAGAUUUCCUACCAUUUUUCGGAGAUCCAGAGACCAUGAUUUACAUGACCAGAGUUGUCACAAUUUAUUUUUAUUAAACUGAUCAGUACAAUUUCUCACCCCAAAUUGCUUUUUGUUUUAUUUAUGUAUUAUUAAGUCAAAUUUUAUGUUCGUAUGAGUAUAGCGA
This 279-nucleotide long non-coding RNA is filed under the name Mytilus galloprovincialis (Mediterranean mussel). The record is from RNAcentral. Lineage: Eukaryota; Metazoa; Mollusca; Bivalvia; Mytilida; Mytilidae.